Molecule: long non-coding RNA, 4876 nt
Organism: Triticum dicoccoides
Lineage: Eukaryota; Viridiplantae; Streptophyta; Magnoliopsida; Poales; Poaceae
Exons: 2
Source: RefSeq, a predicted model, not a curated record
UUCUAAUCAGGGGCGAGUAAUAAUCGGAAAAAAUAAAAAAACCAGGGGCGGAGUGGACGAGGGGUGCGAGCUCCGAGCGGCGGUUGGGCUCCGGCGUCGUGAUGCUCCACGGCAUUGGGAGCGGCGCGUGGGAUCGACGUCUCUAGAGGGUGGUCUUAGUUUCGGGCAACGCGGCGGGCCGAGCCGUCGUGUUGCGACGUCGGUAGUGCUUGGCGUCAGGGCUGCAUCUCCCGUGUGGACGGCCCCUCGUCGGCAGAGUCGCCGGCGACGAACACUCGGCCGAAGACGGGGCCGCGCCAUGAACCAGGGUUUAGCGGCGUCCUCGGCUGGACGACAAGCUGGUCGUGGGUGGGCGGCGCGGCGAGUCGUGUCUACUUCUUGAAGAGGGUACAGUGGUGGUUGGCAUUCUACAUGAUGCGGGCGGUAUCUCCUCCUACGACAACGGUCGGCAACUAGCUGUUUGCAGCCCUCCGUCAUUUUACAUGAGUAUGUCUUGAUUUACUCUCCCAUGCGAAAUAUUUGCUUGAAUUAAGUUAGAUCAGUAAGAAAACUAGGUAGCAGAAUUAGGAAGGGUUACGUCCCCAAAUAUAUUUCUUUUGGGCAUAGCUAUCAUACAAGCUUACAUCAGAUUGGCAGCUGUUCAUUUCUACAAAAUUCUGGUGUAGUGUUGUGAUUUCCCAGAUGAGUGUUGUGUUAUGUGAAAAUUAUCAUUAAACAUAUGUGAAUAGGAGAAAAAAAUGUAAAAUAGCACAAAACAGAUACACCCAGCAAGGUGUUUUCUAUGGAAUGGUUUCAAUGCUCAAUGUUAUGAAAAACACAUCCGCAUGCACAUUACAUAUGGAGCACGAUGCGCCGCCUAGAACUAGUCAGAUAUUUUACUUUGCACGAAAUUUGGUGAUCUUAACCACAGAAAAUAAAAAAAUACCUCAAAUGUAUUUUCAUUACUAUCAAAUUUAAUGUGAUUUGAUUGUUAUUAUCAAAUUUAAUGUGAUUUGAUUGUUAUUACCUCAAAUGUCUAUUUUGCAAGCGUUCAUAGGACCAAAGCCAGAGUUUACAGCAGUUAUGGGAGAAAACAAAGAAGGGUGGGGAUUAGGACCCAGCGGCCACAGACGAAAUCUGAACCCAAAGUACCAAACCACGUUUCGUUUUGUUUUUUAGGCCCCUAUGCUUCUAGAACUAUUAUCCAAUUUGAUGGCUGCUACUUGGUGCGUGUGCUGGGUGUCCAUGAGGUACUUCUCGGCAGCAGCAUUGCCUCUCAAUUUGCCAACAAGAUCCAUUCAGAUUGUUUAAUCACUGACUCUAGGAUCCAUGCCUACUCUAGGUAGAACUUCAGUAAGCUGCAGAAAUAAACAAUAGAAAGGGUAAAGAACCACUAAGCAUGCCAUUUACCUGAUAUGGCCCAGAUUGUUUUAUUUGAACACCAUAUGGUCCAAAUUGUAACCAAGUAAAACUGCAUGCUCGUCAAAUUUUGUAUGAUGAAACCAUAAUAUUAGCACUCUGAAUGCACGUUUUGAUUGACUACCACCCUGGAUGUCAUCCAUGUUAUUAGCUAUGUUUUGUUACAGGGGAUUUUGGGUACUGCCUGGAUGUGUUGCUUGAGCAGAAGACUUCCAUGUUUUUGUUCAUAGACCGUGUCAUUCUUAUUUUUCUUGUACUUAUCAUGUACUCCCUCCGUCCCAUAAUAUAAGAACGUUUUUGACACUAGUGUAGUGUCAACAACGUUCUUAUAUUAUGGGACAGAGGGAGUACAUGUCAUGGUUUAUGGAAGAGUGUUCGGUUCAGCCGUAUACCAUAUACAUGUUGCCUAACAAGUUUGUUUUCUCAAUACAGAAGCUGUACGAUUAUAUGAAACUGAAAAUAUUUAGUUUUCUGGCCAUAACUCUGAAUUUUUAGUGACUUGUUGCUUCAUUAUGUGGUCAAUUUUUGGUUGCUACUAGCUUGCUGUAAUAUAGACUGUUGACUUGGAGGAUAUAAUUUAUCAUGUUCCUUAAAAAAAAUUAUGUACAAUUUCUUCUCAUGGAUGUUAAUUAUCAUGUCAAGCUUUAAGCUCACACUCUUGGAGAUUUUUUGUUUACGAGGAGAAAUCAGAGGUUUGAGGUUCCUUUUGUUACUGUAUAGUUCUCUCAUUUUGAUCAUUAACAUAAUUCAAUUAGUUUUUGUUCUCAUCGGUCUACGACAUCAGUCGGAUUCAGAAAUUACGCUGGGUAAAACCGAUGUGUUUUGUAGUCUUUUUUUUUACGUUCCUUUUUGUCGUAAAAUUACAUCAAUAGCAUCUGGUUUCUUACAGCGAUUACCCUGGUUUAGUUCCUCACACAUCCACAACGUAACUUGCCUUGCAUGCACAUCGUAAGAUUACCUCAGAAGCCCUUUCUUACGGUGGUUCAGAGCGUGUGCUCGUGGGUGUGGCAUGUGGUUCGUCUGUGAGGUAAAUUUACGUUCAACUCUUUCUUUCCUAGUGGUUGUGGCUGUGGCGUGUGAUUCGGCUGGGGUGAGAUUCUUCACCCUGGGUGACGAAUAGCGAUUGACUCUGUGGGUUCACCGCCACAAUACGCUUUUUCUCAUAAAUUUACGCUUUCAGUUUAAAUUUAAAACAUAUACGUGAUGUGGUACUAAAUUUCAUCCGUUCAGUUUCGUUUUCACAGCUUCCUAUCAGAUGGGCCAGAAAAUUUGCUAUGGGCCACGAGCCGCUGCCUACCCGGCUCCAGCCGAAUGCGCGCCGGCCGCUCUGGCAUGGCGGCGGGUUCAGCCUCGGCGUGGACCUAAAUGCUUCAUUUUUACAAAAAAAUAUAUAUGUUUGUUUGAAAUACAGUCUGCAGUGCGGCGGGUUGAGCCUCGGCGUGGACCUAAAUGCUUCAUUUUUACAAAAAAAUAUAUAUGUUUGUUUGAAAUACAGUCUGCAGUCCUCUAAUUCAUCUUAUCCAAACUUCUACCUUUCCAGCAACGCCGGAGGCAGUUGACGGGCGGCGCCCUGUCGUCGGACGGCUACAACGGCGAUGGAGGAGAAGGCGGACGUCGUGGGUGCGUGCUUGAGUAAGGGAGGCCACCCUUGCUGUGCUCGUGGGCGUUCAUGGAGGAUGGAAGGGGGGACAACUUCCUGUUGGUGCGCCGGCUAUGCUCGUGGGUGUUCAUGGAGGAUGGAAGGUGGGACAGCAUUCUGUGGGUACGCCGACCGUUCGCCGCCAGCGCCGGCCGGCCUCCCCCGCCAGUCCUCUCCAGACUCCUCUGUCGUAUCCGUCUCAACCUCCAACUUCCUACUGCUGUGUUGUGAUUUGGAUAGAAAAUUGGAGGCCGGCCAUGUUCUUCUCUAUUAUAUAUAUAUAUAUGUAUAUGUAUAUGUAUAUAUAUAAUAACACUAUAUUAAUCAUGAAAUCAGAAUAGUUAUUCGGAUCACGGUCGGCCCUAUAUAGGGUCCGGUCGGGAUGUUUGGAACAUCCGAACCGAUAGCUAACGAAAAAAAGCCCACCGAACCAUCCCCACCUACCGCAUCUCCCAAUCUCCCCUCGAUACCAACCCAGCCGUUUCCACCUUAGGAACCCCCCGACCAACCCGCCGCCCCGCCCCUGAUCCCUCGCACCGCUGCCGCCCCCGGCCCUGACCCCGCGCGCCCCCGCCCCCGCUCUGACCUCGCGCGCCGCCGUUGCUGCCCCGACAACCCAAGGCGCCGCCGCCCCAAGAUGGGAAGGCAGCCGCCGCCGAGAAAGAAGCUCCGGGUAGGGCGGAAGAUGGGCACUGUGGCCGCCGGCGAGGAAGAAGAUUCCGGCGGAGAGGAAGAAGGCGACGGAUGCCGCGGACGAGCAAGGAGGGGAGGCCGCAGAGCGGUCGCCUCAUCUCCCUGUCCUGCGGCACUCCGGCGGCUGGAGCAAGGUAAGGCAGAGCACGGGACUAGGAGCGGCUAGAGGAGCUAAGUCAGGGCCCGUUCCGCAGCUCUCCGACGGAUAAGACCACGGCGGUGCUGGUCGGGUGGCCACACUCGCCUCCUCUUGCACUGCUCAUGGUCUCCAUCAAGCACGCACGAAAGAGAUGGGCUGCAGGAAGUGAGAGGGCCAGGAUUCGCCUCUAUCAAUGGAAUUCUUCACCACGCAACUUAUUUGAACUGCACCACCCCUACGCCUUCUUCCUCGUGUCUGAGGCUCCCAAUAGACAGUAGAUUUUAUUGCCAGUGGAGCGAUGUGGUCUGAGUCCUCUCUAUCCAUGUGUUUGAUUUUUUUUGUGCAGAUGCAGCAGGCAGUGCAGAUGUACCAUAUUCUGAAUUUUGAAUCUUGUCUCCUGAACUACUCCUCGCCGCCACCACUUCUACUACCGGUGGUAACCCUCGUCGCCACACCUGGAACCGGUUGUCCGUCAAUAGAAGGCGGUCUGUGUCCAUGCUCCGCUGAUCACCCAGUCACACCCUCUGUACGUGGAGAAUGCCUUUAUUCUUCUGUUUGAAAAAUCUGAAAUUCUGAAGCAACCGUAUUGGUUCACACAUGUACCAUCUUGGUAUUAACCAAAUCGAACAUCAACAAAAUAAAAGCAGACAAUAGAGAUACUAAUGUGAACCUGUGUGCAUUAUAUAGAAAUUUUGGUUGUUACUCCUUGUAGUACUUAUCUUCCGAUACAUGUACAGAACUCAUGUUUUUCUUUAGUAUUCAUCUUCCUGUACACGUACAGAAUUGAUGCACGGAAGAACAUCAUAUGGAAGACAGGCUCCAUUCAGUCAAUUUUUCGAAAAAGCCAUAUGUAUACUCAGAAGUUCUGCCUGGACAACCGCUUCAGUUCGAUGUCGCUGCACAGUGCAACUUUGUUAUGCUCUUUUCGUGAUCAAACAAAAGCAUGUUGUUGUUUGUGUAGAUUUGUGCACAUAAAGGUUAGAAAUAUAAUGGAGAAGGAGCAUGUA